CAGUAGCCGCGGGAAUACGUAGGGUGCGAGCGUUAAUCGGAAUUACUGGGCGUAAAGCGUGCGCAGGCGGUCCGUUAAGACAGAUGUGAAAUCCCCGGGCUUAACCUGGGAACUGCAUUUGUGACUGGCGAGCUAGAGUAUGGCAGAGGGGGGUAGAAUUCCACGUGUAGCAGUGAAAUGCGUAGAGAUGUGGAGGAAUACCGAUGGCGAAGGCAGCCCCCUGGGCCAAUACUGACGCUCAUGCACGAAAGCGUGGGGAGCAAACAGGAUUAGAUACCCCCGUAGUCCCUGUCUCUUAUAC
Molecule: ribosomal RNA, 301 nt
Filed under: uncultured bacterium
Lineage: Bacteria
Description: partial 16S ribosomal RNA
Rfam family: Bacterial small subunit ribosomal RNA
Source: RNAcentral